CCUACGGGGGGCAGCAGUGAGGAAUAUUGGUCAAUGGACGCGAGCCUGAACCAGCCAAGUAGCGUGAAGGAUGACUGCCCUAUGGGUUGUAAACUUCUUUUAUAUAGGAAUAAAGUGAGGUACGUGUCCCUUUUUGUAUGUACAUUAUGAAUAAGGAUCGGCUAACUCCGUGCCAGCAGCCGCGGUAAUACGGAGGUACCGAGCGUUAUCCGGAUUUCUUGGGUGUAAAGGGAGCGUAGAUGGUUUGUUAAGUCAGUUGUGAAAGUUUGCGGCUCAACCGUAAAAUUGCAUUUGAUACUGGCAGUCUUGAGUACAGUAGAGGUAGGCGGAAUUCGUGGUGUAGCGGUGAAAUGCUUAGAUAUCACGAAGAACUCCGAUUGCGAAGGCAGCUUACUAGACUGCAACUGACAUUGAGGCUCGAAAGUGUGGGUAUCAAACAGGAUUAGAUACCCGUGUAGUC
Molecule: ribosomal RNA, 460 nt
Filed under: uncultured bacterium
Lineage: Bacteria
Description: partial 16S ribosomal RNA
Rfam family: Bacterial small subunit ribosomal RNA
Source: RNAcentral